Molecule: long non-coding RNA, 428 nt
Filed under: Equus caballus (horse)
Lineage: Eukaryota; Metazoa; Chordata; Mammalia; Perissodactyla; Equidae
Description: lncRNA (ENSECAG00000052026.1)
Source: RNAcentral
GAUCCGCCCCAACCACCUUGAAAGUAAGAGGUGCUUGCUUCCCUGCUAUCUCUCGUUCCCUGGUGACCUAGGAUGGAGGACGGCCCUUCCCCGCUUGUUGCGCCUGCGCACCCUCUCCGCUCCCCAUGUGUUUUCUAUCUAUGUAGACAAUCUGGGGAUUUUCUCACAUUCUGUUUGACUGGCCCUGAGCUAACAUCUGUGCCCAUCUUCCUCUACUUUAUAUGUGGGACGCCUACCACAGCAUGGCGUGCCAAGCGGUGCCGUGUCCGAACUUGGAUCCGAACAAGCGAACCCCAAGCACAGAGAAGUGGAUUGUGCGCACUCAACCAUGGUGCCACUGGGCUGGCCCCUGUAUGAAGUUUUUAAUUACUAUUUCAAUUGAUGUCAGAGUUAAAAGAUUGUUUAGGGUCUUUACCUCAGGUUUUGCU